This 492-nucleotide ribosomal RNA is filed under the name uncultured bacterium. Its description in RNAcentral is "partial 16S ribosomal RNA". It matches the Rfam family "Bacterial small subunit ribosomal RNA", at positions 29 to 507 of the family's 1533-position model. The record is from RNAcentral.
AUUGAACGCUGGCGGCAUGCUUUACACAUGCAAGUCGAACGGUAACAGGCCUUCGGGUGCUGACGAGUGGCGCACGGGUGCGUAAUGCAUCGGAACGUACCCAGAGGUGGGGGAUAACGCAGCGAAAGCUGUGCUAAUACCGCAUGUGAUCUGAGGAUGACAGCGGGGGACCGCGCAGCAAUGUUUGGCCUCGCGCCUUUGGAGCGGCCGAUGUCGGAUUAGCUAGUUGGUGGGGUAAAGGCCUACCAAGGCGACGAUCCGUAGCUGGUCUGAGAGGACGACCAGCCACACUGGGACUGAGACACGGCCCAGACUCCUACGGGAGGCAGCAGUGGGGAAUUUUGGACAAUGGGCGCAAGCCUGAUCCAGCAAUGCCGCGUGCGGGAAGAAGGCCUUCGGGUUGUAAACCGCUUUUGGCAGGAACGAAACGGUGUCCGCUAAUACCGGGCGCUAAUGACGGUACCUGCAGAAUAAGCACCGGCUAACUACGUG